GAUGCAGUAUGAGCUGCUUGUCUCAAGAUUAAGCCGAAAGCAUUUGCCAAGAAUGAGCUGCUUUCUUAAAUAUCUACUUGGAUAACUGUGGCAAUUCUGGAGCUAAUACAUGCAAGAAAGCCCGGACCUUAGGGAAAGGGCGCAUUUAUUAGACCAAAACCAAUCGAGCUUCGGCUUGUGUUUUGGUGACUCUGAAUAACUAAGUUGAUCGUACGGUCUUAGUACCGACGACGUAUUUUUCAAAUGUCUGCCUUAUCAACUUUCGAUGGUAGGUUAUACGCCUACCAUGGUUAUAACGGGUAACGGAGAAUAAGGGUUCGACUCCGGAGAGGGAGCCUGAGAAAUGGCUACCACAUCCAAGGAAGGCAGCAGGCGCGCAAAUUACCCAAUCCCAGAACGGGGAGGUAGUGACGAAAAAUAACGAGAUAGUCCACUAUGUGGCCUGUCAUCGGAAUGGGUACAAUUUAAAAACUUUAACGAGGAUCUAUUAGAGGGCAAGUCUGGUGCCAGCAGCCGCGGUAAUUCCAGCUCUAAUAGCGUAUAUUAAAGUUGUUGUGGUUAAAACGCCCGUAGUUGGAUCUUCGGCCUUGAAGCUCGGUAACUCGUAAGGGUUUAACUGAGUCUUCUGGUCUAAAUUUUAGUAUUCUCCUGAUGCUCUUUAUUGAGUGUCUUGAGUUGCUAGAACGUUUACUUUGAAAAAAUUAGAGUGCUAAAAGCAGGCUAUACGCUUGAAUAAAGUGCAUGGAAUAAUGGAAAUAGGACUUUAGUUUUAUUUUGUUGGUUUUCGAAAUUAAAGUAAUGAUUAAGAGGAACAGACGGGGGCAUUCGUAUUGUUGCGUUAGAGGUGAAUUCUUGUAUCGCAGCAAGACGAACAACUGCGAAGCAUUUUUGCCAUAAAAAGGGAGGAAUAAAAUUAUU
Molecule: ribosomal RNA, 918 nt
Filed under: Anatonchus tridentatus
Lineage: Eukaryota; Metazoa; Nematoda; Enoplea; Mononchida; Anatonchidae
Description: bacterial SSU rRNA
Rfam family: Eukaryotic small subunit ribosomal RNA
Source: RNAcentral